UACGUAGGUGGCAAGCGUUGUCCGGAUUUAUUGGGUUUAAAGGGUGCGUAGGCGGCCCUGUAAGUCAGUGGUGAAAUACUCCGGCUUAACUGGAGGGGUGCCAUUGAUACUGCAGGGCUUGAGUGGAGUCGAAGUAGGCGGAAUUGACGGUGUAGCGGUGAAAUGCUUAGAUAUCGUCAAGAACACCGAUAGUGAAGACAGCUUACUAGGCUUCUACUGACGCUGAGGCACGAAAGUGUGGGGAUCAAACAGG
This 253-nucleotide ribosomal RNA is filed under the name uncultured bacterium. RNAcentral's name for it is "partial 16S ribosomal RNA". It matches the Rfam family "Bacterial small subunit ribosomal RNA", at positions 524 to 776 of the family's 1533-position model. The record is from RNAcentral.